Molecule: transfer-messenger RNA, 355 nt
Filed under: Actinomycetota bacterium
Lineage: Bacteria; Bacillati; Actinomycetota
Description: Actinobacteria bacterium (freshwater metagenome) transfer-messenger RNA
Rfam family: transfer-messenger RNA
About the family: Bacterial tmRNA, also known as 10Sa RNA or SsrA, is named for its dual tRNA and mRNA-like properties. Its role is to liberate the mRNA from a stalled ribosome. To accomplish this part of the tmRNA is used as a reading frame that ends in a translation stop signal.
Source: RNAcentral
GGGGGCGAAACGGUUUCGACAUGGGCCGAUCGCGGUCGGAGCAGCAAGCCGAGGUCCGGUGGCCUCGUUAAACUGCCGGAACACCAUAACUGCCGAGGAUCGUUCCCUGGCACUGGCUGCCUGAAUAAGGCGGCCCGUCACACCCGGUGAGUCCGCAGCCGGGACCGUGGCGUCGCUCAGCGGACUGGGGUCCGGUCGGCGUGUCCCGACCGGCCGGACCCGAGACUUCUCGGGGCUGGCGAUCCGCACCCGGCCGACGCGGGGACGGUGAGCGAGACGAAAAGCGCCGGCUAAGCUUGUAGAUACUCCGUCGCGGCACUCGUGGACGCGGGUUCGACUCCCGCCGCCUCCACCA